Molecule: ribosomal RNA, 253 nt
Filed under: uncultured bacterium
Lineage: Bacteria
Description: partial 16S ribosomal RNA
Rfam family: Bacterial small subunit ribosomal RNA
Source: RNAcentral
UACGUAGGGUGCGAGCGUUAAUCGGAAUUACUGGGCGUAAAGGGUGCGCAGGCGGAUAUGUAAGUUAGAUGUGAAAUCCCAGAGCUUAACUUUGGAAUAGCAUUUAAGACUGCGUGUCUAGAGUUUGUGAGAGGGGGGUAGAAUUCCAAGUGUAGCAGUGAAAUGCGUAGAGAUUUGGAGGAAUACCGAUGGCGAAGGCAGCCCCCUGGCAUAAAACUGACGCUCAUGCACGAAAGCGUGGGUAGCAAACAGG